GCAAAUAUAGUUUAACAAAAACAUUAGAUUGUGAAUCUAAAUAUAGAAGCUUAAACCUUCUUAUAUGCC
This 69-nucleotide transfer RNA is filed under the name Strigocuscus celebensis (little Celebes cuscus). RNAcentral's name for it is "tRNA-His". It matches the Rfam family "tRNA". From Rfam's summary of the family: Transfer RNA (tRNA) molecules are approximately 80 nucleotides in length. The record is from RNAcentral. Lineage: Eukaryota; Metazoa; Chordata; Mammalia; Diprotodontia; Phalangeridae.